This 506-nucleotide ribosomal RNA is filed under the name uncultured bacterium. RNAcentral describes it as "partial 16S ribosomal RNA". It matches the Rfam family "Bacterial small subunit ribosomal RNA", at positions 29 to 523 of the family's 1533-position model. The record is from RNAcentral.
AGUGAACGCUGGCGGUAGGCCUAACACAUGCAAGUCGAACGGCAGCACAGGAGAGCUUGCUCUCUGGGUGGCGAGUGGCGGACGGGUGAGGAAUACAUCGGAAUCUACUCUGUCGUGGGGGAUAACGUAGGGAAACUUACGCUAGUACCGCAUACGACCUACGGGUGAAAGCAGGGGAUCUUCGGACCUUGCGCGAUUGAAUGGGCCGAUGUCGGAUUAGCUAGUUGGCGGGGUAAAGGCCCACCAAGGCGACGAUCCGUAGCUGGUCUGAGAGGAUGAUCAGCCACGCUGGAACUGAGACACGGGCCAGACUCCUACGGGAGGCAGCGGUGGGGAAUAUUGGACAAUGGGCGCAAGCCUGAUCCAGCCAUACCGCGUGGGUGAAGAAGGCCCUCGGGUUGUAAAGCCCUUUUGUUGGGAAAGAAAUCCAGCUGGCUAAUACCCGGUUGGGAUGACGGUACCCAAAGAAUAAGCACCGGCUAACUUCGUGCCAGCCGCCGCCGUAA